UACGUAGGGGGCGAGCGUUGUUCGGAUUUACUGGGCGUAAAGAGCGCGUAGGCGGUUCGAUAAGUCGGAGGUGAAAUCCCUCGGCUCAACCGAGGACCCGCGUCCGAUACUGUCGAACUUGAGUGCAGGAGAGGAGAGCGGAAUUCCCAAUGUAGCGGUGAAAUGCGUAGAUAUUGGGAGGAACACCGGUGGCGAAGGCGGCUCUCUGGCCUGCUACUGACGCUGAGGCGCGAAAGCUAGGGGAGCAAACGGG
RNAcentral lists this ribosomal RNA (253 nucleotides) under uncultured bacterium. RNAcentral describes it as "partial 16S ribosomal RNA". It matches the Rfam family "Bacterial small subunit ribosomal RNA", at positions 524 to 776 of the family's 1533-position model. The record is from RNAcentral.